RNAcentral lists this ribosomal RNA (301 nucleotides) under uncultured bacterium. Its description in RNAcentral is "partial 16S ribosomal RNA". It matches the Rfam family "Bacterial small subunit ribosomal RNA", at positions 509 to 808 of the family's 1533-position model. The record is from RNAcentral.
CAGCGCCGCGGGAAUACGAAGGGGGCUAGCGUUGUUCGGAAUUACUGGGCGUAAAGCGCACGUAGGCGGAUCGAUCAGUCAGGGGUGAAAUCCCAGGGCUCAACCCUGGAACUGCCUUUGAUACUGUCGAUCUGGAGUAUGGAAGAGGUGAGUGGAAUUCCGAGUGUAGAGGUGAAAUUCGUAGAUAUUCGGAGGAACACCAGUGGCGAAGGCGGCUCACUGGUCCAUUACUGACGCUGAGGUGCGAAAGCGUGGGGAGCAAACAGGAUUAGAUACCCGCGUAGUCCCUGUCUCUUAUACA